RNAcentral lists this ribosomal RNA (936 nucleotides) under uncultured organism. Its description in RNAcentral is "bacterial SSU rRNA". It matches the Rfam family "Bacterial small subunit ribosomal RNA", at positions 462 to 1414 of the family's 1533-position model. The record is from RNAcentral.
AUGCGGUAUGACGGUACCCUUUCGAAUAAGAGGUUGCUAACUCUGUGCCAGCAGCAGCGGUAAUACAGAGACCUCGAGCGUUAUCCGGAUUUACUGGGCGUAAAGCGUCUGUAGGGGGUUUGUUAAGUUCCAAGUAAAAUCUUAAGGCUCAACUUUAAGUUCGCUUGGAAAACUAAUAAACUGGAGUCCAGCAGAGGUGCAUGGAACUUGCGGUGUAGGAGUGAAAUCCGUUGAUAUCGCAAGGAACACCAAAGGCGAAGGCAUUGCACUGGGCUGGUACUGACCCUGAGAGACGAAAGCGUGGGGAGCAAAACGGAUUAGAUACCCGUGUAGUCCACGCCGUAAACGAUGGAUACUAGAUGUUCGGGGAUUCGACCCCCUGGGUGUCACAGCUAACGCGUUAAGUAUCCCGCCUGGGAAGUACGGCCGCAAGGCUAAAACUCAAAGGAAUAGACGGGGAUCCGCACAAGCGGUGGAGCGUCUGGUUUAAUUUGAUAGUAAGCAAUGGACCUCACCAAGGUUUGACAUCCUAUGACAACCCUGGAAACAGGGCUUCCUUCGGGCAUAGUGACAGGUGCUGCAUGGUCGUCGUCAGUUCGUGCCGUGAGGUGUUCCGUUAAGUCGGGAAACGAGCGAAACCCUCGUCGCAUGUUACAAAUUUCAUGCGAGACUGCCCGGGUCAACCGGGAGGAAGGCGGGGAUGACGUCAGAUCAGCAUGGCCCUUAUACCUUGGGCUACACAGGCGCUACAAUGGCCGGUACAAAGGGUUGCAAAACCGCGAGGUGAAGCUAAUCCCAUAAAGCCGGUCCAAGUUCGGAUUGGAGGCUGCAACCCGCCUCCAUGAAGUUGGAAUCGCUAGUAAUCGUGGAUCAGCCAUACCACGGUGAUACGUUCCCGGAUCUUGUACUCACCGCCCGUCACACCAAGAGAGUUGG